RNAcentral lists this long non-coding RNA (753 nucleotides) under Solanum tuberosum (potato). Its description in RNAcentral is "long non-coding RNA (STUB_LNC006459)". Lineage: Eukaryota; Viridiplantae; Streptophyta; Magnoliopsida; Solanales; Solanaceae. The record is from RNAcentral.
UCUUUCACAUGGACUAUGUGACAUCUCUAAAAAGCCAUCAGAUUCAAAUUAUUUCUUUAAUUAGCUAUAUUUUUAUCCUCUUCAAUCUUCAUCUCCUCUGUUGGGUCGAGGUAUUAAAGUUGUUGGAACAUUUUUGUUGCCAACUUCUAAUGGAUGGUGUUUAUUUUCUGUGACUUAGAGAUGACAAUAACAUAUUUAGUGGAAUUCUAUCCACUACAGGUGGGGAACGUAGAUCAUAUUUUACCUCUCAUAGAGGUAAGGAGAUUGUUUCGAGAAAUUAAUUGAACAAAGUCUUGGUUGGAUUGGAAAAACUUCAAACGAUCGACUACUCAACUCCUAUAUAAAUCAUUGAAUAGGUACCAUAGAAGUUGAGAAUCAAGAGAUAUGCUAUAACGAACGAACCUAUUCCUAUCAAGUUUUUAUCAUUAUUAUUGUUUUUGAGUUGUAAAUUGUAAUAGUUAGAUUCUUGUAGCUCCAAAAUAACAUCUUAAUUACUACUAUAUUUUUAAUUAAUUGUAUUAGGUGUUGUUUUGUGUUAUGGGGAGACUUUAUUGACGAGGUAAAGUCAAUGAAGAAUUGAGAGCGAUCAACAAUUAACGAGAGUUGUUGAGGGUAAAUAUAAUGUAGAGGUUGUAGGAGGCAGAUCCUAAGGUGUACAAAUGAGUUGUAAUUUUAAAUUGUUCGUUCAAUAGCGAUGAGGAAACUUUUAUUAGAGAUUAUAGUUUGUCGUUUUGCACUUUUUUAAGCAAGGAG